Molecule: non-coding RNA, 3172 nt
Organism: Camelina sativa (false flax)
Lineage: Eukaryota; Viridiplantae; Streptophyta; Magnoliopsida; Brassicales; Brassicaceae
Source: RefSeq, a predicted model, not a curated record
AAGUUCUUAUACUAAUUGGGUUCUACACGGAGAGGAUAUUAGUGUAACUAGGAAUACAAUAGAAAGACCUUCUGAGAGUAACACUGCUCAAGUAGAAAGAGAUCCAACAAUGAAUCUCUUGGAUGAUCUUUUCCCUGAUAUGGAUACAUAUGAAGGAUCUGGAUUGUCACAACAACCUAUGAACACAGAAAUACCAUCAACUUCAAGUCGAAAUCAUGGAAAAGGAGAAGGUUUUGAUGAAUUGCUAAAGGAUUUUAAUCAAGAGUUGUAUAAAGGGUGUACCGGGUUCACGAAGCUAUCAUUUAUGUUGAAGUUGUAUCAUAUCAAAUGUAUGUGUAGGAUCAGCGACAAAAGGAUUUCCAUGGUUCUUGAUUUGCUUAAAGAAGCAUUCACACAUGCUAAGUUGCCAGAUUCAUUCAAUGAGAUGAAGAAAGUUAUCCGUAAGCUAGGUUUGAGCUAUGAAUCGAUUCAUGCAUGUCCAAAUGAUUGCAUGCUAUACUGGGAAGCAGAUAAAGAUAGAGAAACUUGCAAUAUUUGUGAAGCUUCUCGAUGGAAAAUUGAUACUACGGUAGAGAGUACGACGUUGGGAAAAAAGAAAAAGAAAAAACAAGUUCCUGCAAAGGUUCUUCGUUGUUUUCCUCUGAAGCCACGUUUGCAGCGUCUAUAUAUGUCAUUGAAAACGGCUAAAGACAUGAGAUGGCAUGAAAAUGCAGAUGACAAUGAUGGUAAACUUCGACAUCCGAGAGACGGAGCAGCUUGGAAGGCAUUUGAUCAAAAAUAUCCUGACUUCGCAUCUGAUCCAAGAAAUGUUAGACUAGGCUUAGCUACAGAUGGUUUUAAUCCAUUUGGUACAAUGAGUACGAGUUUUAGCAUCUGGCCGGUGAUCUUAUUUCCUUAUAAUUUACCUCCAUGGAUGUCGAUGAAGCUGACUUCGAUGAUCCUUUCUAUGGUUAUUCCAGGGAAGCAAAUGCCUAGUAAUGAUAUUGAUGUGUAUUUACAGCCACUUAUCAAAGAAUUGAAGGAGUUAUGGGAUGAUGGGAUCACGACAGUUGAUGCUUCUACUAAACAAACAUUUAACAUGAGAGCAACCAUCAUGUGGACAAUUAGUGAUUUUCUCGGACUUGGAAAUCUGUCUGGUUCGAAUACAUAUACAUCAUCAGCAUGUCCAAGCUGCAAUUAUGAUUUCAUCGGACAACGUUUACAACACGGGAAGAAGAACUGUUUUAUGGGUCAUCAUUGUUUCCUUCCUUCAGAUCAUGAUUUUCGUCAAAAUAGUGCUAGUUUUGAUGGAAAAAUAGAAAUUUGUUAUCCACUUGUCGUGUUGUCAGGAACUAUGAUUAAGCAUCAACAAGAACAAGUUAAUGUUGUUUUAGGUAAGAAACAUGAUUUAGUUGGGAGAAAAAGAGAUCGAAUAGAUUCAGAAAGAAAUAGUAUGCAACAACGGAGGAAAAAAGUAUAUUUUUUAAGCUGGCUUAUUGGGAGUUUGUUUUGGUACGACACAAUUUGGAUAUAAUGCACAUAGAGAAGAAUGUGUUUGACAAUCUAGUUUACACAUUACUAGAUGACAAAAAAAAAAUAAAAAGAUAAUCUGAAGGCUAGGAAAGAUCUCCGUGAGAUGGGAAUAUGCUCUGAUUUAUGGCCUACUGAAGAUGGGAAGUACAAGGAAGCAUGUUUUACUUUGAAAAAUGAUGGAAAAGAUAUUUUUCUGAGUGUCUUCAAGGAUGCAAAACUUCCAGAUGUUAUGCUUCUAACAUCUCAAGUUGUGUUGAUGUUAAAAGUAGAAAGCUAUCUAGAUUAAAAAGCCAUGACUGUCACGUGAUAAUGAGAGAUUUGCUUUCAAUUGCAGUUCAGAAUUUGUUGCCUGCAAAUGUGACGUCACUUGUUAUUGAGCUUUGUCAUUUUUUUAGAGAUAUAUCAGCAAAGGUUCUAGAUAUUGAUGAGCUUGAUAAAUUACAAGAGCGUAUAGUUGUGACUUUAUGCGCGAUGGAGAUGUUGUUUCCUCUAUCGUUUUUCACCGUGAUGGUACAUUUAAUAGUGCAUCUCACAGAAGAAGUAAAACAUGGUGGGCCACUUUGUUGGAUGUAUCCAAUUGAAAGGACUCUUGGAUAUUUUAAAUCUUAUGUUCGCAAUCGUGCUCAACCAGAGGGUUCUAUAUGUAAGCAAUAUUUGGCUGAUGAGUGUAUAACGUUCUGCUCAAUAUAUCUUGAUGAUAUGGAGACACGAUUUAAUCGUGUCGGUCGCGUUGAUGAUCGACCUGUAGUUAAGAUGAGUGUAAGGCCACACUCAGAACUUGCAAAUAUUUUUCCAAAUAUUGGUAGAUUCGUUGGAGCUGGUCAUGUUUGGACACUAACUUAUAUAGAGAGGCAACAAGCACAUCGACAUGUUCUGAUCAAUUGUCAGCUACUUGAUCAUUUACAAGAGCGAUACAAAAAUGAGCUUGUUAGUAGAAUUUCUGGUCAGAGCAGAAGGAAUCGUGCUAUUGACAUUGACAGAGAAAUACAUCUUAAUUUUGCCAAAUGGAUGAGAGAAAAAGUAGAAGAAAAUGACAUUGAUGGGAUAGAUGAUGAUUUACGAUGCUUAGCUAUUGGUCCAUCAGACAAAGUUGUGAAGUAUACAACUUACAACGUGAAUGACUUCAAAUUUCGGACUAUUGAAAGAGAUGCGGAUCUCAAAACACAAAAUAGUGGUGUUUAUGUGGCUGCCGAGACUAUGAGUUAUGCAAGCUCUCGUGAUCUAAACCCAAUAGCAGGAGAUGUAGUUUACUAUGGGAAGCUAGUUGAAGUUAUGAAGUUAAAUUUCUAUGAGACUUUUAAAGUUGUGUUGUUUAAGUGUAAAUGGGUUGAUUCUCGUACUGAACGAGGAUAUAAAAUAGACGCAUAUGGUCAUCAUAUGGUCAAUUUUUCACGCUUGCUACACUCCGGAGAGAAUUUUGAGGAUGAACCUUAUGUCUUGGCUUCUCAAGCGAGACUGGUAUAUUAUGUUAAACAACUUGGCGAGUCAGAGUGGGAUUUCGCAGUUCAUGUUCAACUUAGAGACGUAUAUGAUAUGGGUGAUGCAAUUCUAUGAGAAUAGUUUGGCUUUAAUAAGGAACACUUGAGUCUUUCUCUUUUCCUUGGAAGAUGACUUGACUUUAUUUAUUUGUUAUAAUAUAAUUUGAUGCUUAUGUAAACUA